GCGCCCUUAGCUCAGCUGGAUAGAGCACGUCCCUUCUAAGGAUGUGGUCGCAGGUUCGAAUCCUGCAGGGCGUGCCA
RNAcentral lists this transfer RNA (77 nucleotides) under Photobacterium angustum. RNAcentral's name for it is "tRNA-Arg". It matches the Rfam family "tRNA". Rfam says of the family: Transfer RNA (tRNA) molecules are approximately 80 nucleotides in length. Their secondary structure includes four short double-helical elements and three loops (D, anti-codon, and T loops). Lineage: Bacteria; Pseudomonadati; Pseudomonadota; Gammaproteobacteria; Vibrionales; Vibrionaceae. The record is from RNAcentral. RNAcentral also lists the same sequence under 50 other names.